This 393-nucleotide ribosomal RNA is filed under the name uncultured bacterium. Its description in RNAcentral is "partial 16S ribosomal RNA". It matches the Rfam family "Bacterial small subunit ribosomal RNA", at positions 523 to 918 of the family's 1533-position model. The record is from RNAcentral.
AUACGGAGGACGCGAGCGUUAUCCGGAUUCAUUGGGUUUAAAGGGUGCGCAGGCGGCCGUGCAAGUCAGCGGUGAAAGCCCGGGGCUCAACCCCGGAAGUGCCGUUGAUACUGCAUGGCUGGAAUGCGGUCGAGGCGGGCGGGAAGUGGGGUGGAGAGGGGAAAUGCGUGGAUAUGCCACAGAACGCCGAUAGCGGAGGCAGCUCGCCAGGCCUGCAUUGACGCUCGGGCACGAAAGCGUGGGGAUCGAACAGGAUUAGAUACCCUGGUAGUCCACGCCGUAAACGAUGGGCGCUCGUCGUCGGCGGCAGACAGUCGGCGGCCAAGCGAAAGCGAUAAGCGCCCCACCUGGGGAGUACGGUCGCAAGGCUGAAACUCAAAGGAAUUGGCGGGG